UAUAGUUUUAUCAAAUUCUCCCGAACAGCAACGUACUGAUCUUGUCAACUGAGACUUGUAAAUUUGAACUAUUUGAAUAAAAGGCCAUCUUCUGCUUCUGCUUCUGCUUCUGCCAGGUAAUGGCCACAAUCAACGGACUGAUUAUUCUGCCAUGGUUUGGUGCGCAUAUUCGACCACCCCCCUCCCCCCAAAAUUUUAGAUAUUUAAUUCAGCUUUGUCAUCGAGGCUUUAAAGGCCUCGACUGACGGUGCUGAUACGACCCCAGGAGGAAGAGCGUUCCAAUCCCGGAUGGUUCUUGGGAAGAAUGAGUGUUUCCGGUAAUCACAGGAUGCUGAUGGUACUUGGAAGGAUUUAUCAUGCAUGUUUCGUGUCAUUCUUUUCGGUGGUAUUAGACGACCUUCCUUUGACAUGGCCACUUUGUUGUUUUCUAUUUUGUAUAGCAUUGUGAGUCUCGCUUCUUUCCUUCUUUGUUCUAG
This 476-nucleotide long non-coding RNA is filed under the name Mytilus galloprovincialis (Mediterranean mussel). The record is from RNAcentral. Lineage: Eukaryota; Metazoa; Mollusca; Bivalvia; Mytilida; Mytilidae.